This 380-nucleotide ribosomal RNA is filed under the name uncultured eukaryote. RNAcentral's name for it is "partial 18S ribosomal RNA". It matches the Rfam family "Eukaryotic small subunit ribosomal RNA", at positions 592 to 976 of the family's 1831-position model. The record is from RNAcentral.
CAAUAGCGUAUAUUAAAGUUGUUGCGGUUAAAAAGCUCGUAGUUGGAUUUCUGCCGAGGACGACCGGUCCGCCCUCCGGGUGAGUAUCUGGCUCGGCCUGGGCAUCUUCUUGGAGAACGUAGCUGCACUUGGCUGUGUGGUGCGGUAUUCAGGACUUUUACUUUGAGGAAAUUAGAGUGUUUCAAGCAGGCACACGCCUUGAAUACAUUAGCAUGGAAUAAUAAGAUAGGACCUCGGUUCUAUUUUGUUGGUUUCUAGAUCUGAGGUAAUGAUUAAUAGGGAUAGUUGGGGGCAUUCGUAUUUAACUGACAGAGGUGAAAUUCUUGGAUUUGUUAAAGACGGACUACUGCGAAAGCAUUUGCCAAGGAUGUUUUCAUUGA